RNAcentral lists this ribosomal RNA (3233 nucleotides) under wastewater metagenome. RNAcentral describes it as "eukaryotic LSU rRNA". It matches the Rfam family "Eukaryotic large subunit ribosomal RNA", at positions 1 to 3006 of the family's 3401-position model. The record is from RNAcentral.
AAAUAUAACCUGAAGUAAGCAAGAGUACCCGCUGAACUUAAGCAUAUCACUAAGCGGAGGAAAAGAAAUUAACAAAGAUUACCUUAGUAAGGGCGACUGAACAGGUAAUAGCCCAACAUUAAAAUCUCUGUUCGAACGAACAGCGAAUUGUAAUCUAUAGACGCACAUUUGGAGGAGUCCUGAUCGCAUAAGUCCCAUGGAACGGGGCAACAAAGAGGGUGAAAUUCCCGUAUUUGGCGAAAGGGAUGAGUCAACAAAGUGCGUCAUCGAGUCGAGCUUCUUGGGAUUGAAGCUCAAAUAGGGAGAUAAACUUCUUCCAAGGCUAAAUAUGAAUGGGAAACCGAUAGCAAACAAGUACCGUGAGGGAAAGAUGAAAAGAACUUUGAAAAAAGAGUUAAAAGACUUGAAACCGUUGAGAAGGAAGCGAUAGAAGUUGGGUAAUCGCAUAGCAAAAGGUCUCCUGGUCUGGUUACUGUGGUCUUGCGACGCAGUGGCUGGACAACAGGGAGAUACUUGGUUGUGUGAAAGACAAGAUGAGUUUUGGUAACAAGUAUAUAAUAAAUGUUACGCAAGACUGAGGAUUGAUUUUGUCAAAACGACUUUUACCGACCCGUCUUGAAACACGGACCAAGGAGUUUUACUACAGUGCGAGUCUACAAGUGGAAAACUUAUAGGCGGAUUGAAAGAGAAUUUAGGGUACCAAGGAGCAAUCCGGCAGUAUCGACCUUCAACUGGUUUCUAUCAGUUGCAUGAGUAAGAGCAUUGUGGUUAAGACCCGAAAGAUGGUGAACUAUACUUGAGUAGAGUGAAGUCAAUGGAAACUCUGAUGGAAGCUCAAAGCGGUACUGACGUGCAAAUCGUUCGUGUAACUUGAGUAUAGGGGCGAAAAACCAAUCGAACCAUCUACUAGCUGGUUCCUUCUGAAGUUUCUCUCAGGAUAGCUGAAACGAUUAUACAGUUUUAUCAGGUAAAGCUAAUGAUUAGUGGAUUGGGGGAAUAAAAUUCCUCCACCAAUUCUCAAACUUUAAAUUGGUAAGAGGCUUGAGUUUGCUUAAAUGAACUCGAGCAUGGAAUGUACGUUUUUAGUGGGCCAUUUUUGGUAAGCAGAACUGGCGAUGAGGGAUGCUCCUAAAGCUGAGUUAAGGUGCCCAAGUUACAAUCAUCAGAUACCAUAAAAGGAGUUGGUUUGUUUAGACAGCAGGAUGGUGGCCCUGAGAGCAGGCAUCCAUUAAAAAGUGCUUUCCGCUUACCUGCCGAACGAAUCAGCCCUGAAAAUGGAUGGCGCUAUAUUGUAACACCGAGACUCGGCCAUUGUCGCUAAUCUAUGCGUCAAUGUGUAAGAAGGCGUGUGGCUAGUGUAGAAGCUAAGGUGUGAACCUAAGUGGAACUGGUCAUAGUGCAGAUCUUGGUGGUAGUAGCAACUAUUCAAAUGAGAACUUUGAAGGCCGAAGUGGAGAAGGGUUCCAUGUGAACAGCAAUUGAUCAUGGGUUACUCGAUCCUAAGACACAGCGGAAACGCCUUGAAAGAAGAGUUAAUCUUCGAGUCAAAAGGGAAUGAGGUUAAUAUUCCUCAAGCUAGCCGUGUAGUAGUAUGGUAACAUAUACAAUCUCGGAGACGCCAGUAUGUACCUCCGGAAGAGUUUUCUUUUCUUCUUAACCAGCUCAAGCCACGGAAUUGAUUUAAUCAGAGAGGUGGCCCAAUGCUGGGUAGAGCAGAGCCCUAGGCUUUGUCGGAUGCGUUCAUAAUGGCCCUUGAAAAUCCGGGUGAGAGACUUAAAUACACGCUAGGUCGUACCAACAACCGCAUCAGGUCUCCAAGGUUAGCAGCCUCUGGUCAACUAGAAGAAUGUAGAUAAGGGAAUUCGGCAAAUUAGAUUCGUAACUUCGGAAGAUGGAUUGGCUCUGAGGACAGUGCAGCCCGGUGACCAUGGAAGUCUUUAUUGAAAUCGUCGACUCGAGUACUCGUAUUCGGUUGAUGAUGGAUUUAGAGAAGUCUGUGGAAGCCACUGCAAUUAACUGUUAACUCAGAACUGAAGCGAACAAAUGGAAUCUAACUGUUUAAUAAAAACAUAGCUUUAUGAUGGCCUGAAAAGGUGUUGACAUAAAGUGAUUUCUGCCCAGUGCUCUGAACGUUAAAGUGAAGAAAUUCAACUAUGCGCGGGUAAACGGCGGGAGUACCCUGACUCUCUUAAGGUAGCGAAAUACCUCGUUAAGUAAUUUUUGACGUGCAUGAAAGGAUUAAUGAGAUUCCAACUGUCCCUAUCUACCAUCUAGCGAAACCACAGCUAAGGGAACGGGCUUAGCAAACUCAUUGGAUAAAGAAGACCCUUUCGCGCUUGACUCUAGUCUGACUUUGUGACAUGACAUAUGAGGUGUAGUCUAGGUGGGAGGGGCAACCCGGUUAUGAAAAACCACUACUCAUAGAGUCAUUUUACUAAUUCCGUCAUGUAGUGACAUUUAUGAAAUAAGCGUAAGCGAACUAAGCGGAAGACAUAGUUAGAUGGGGAGUUUGGCUGGGGCGGUACUUCUGUUAAAUAAUAACGCAGGUGUCCUAAGGUAAGCUCAAAGAGAACAGAAAUCUCUUGUAGACCAAAAGGGGAAAAGCUUACUUGAUUCAGAUUUUCAGUAAAAAUAUGAACUGUGAAAGCAUGGCCUAUUGAUCCUUUAACUUUACAAGUUUUAAGCUAGAGGUGUCAGAAAAGUCACCGGAGGGAUAAACAUACAUACAGUCCCAGGCUUCAUUCCAAGAAGUCUAGUCUCUAAGUUAAAAAAGUGGAAGACUUAGAGGCAACAUGUCUGGAUGCUGGAAACUCUUUAGAAUAUCAGUACCAAAUAUAUUGCAUGGAUGACAUUGGUAAUAAUCUGAUAUGUGAGACAAUCAGCAGCCGAUCAGACUAAGGUCUGACGGUUCAACGCUCGGUAAGAUAUGGGUACGAAAGUGCUUAAGGUACGAGCUACUCCCACUGGAAACAGUGCCUCUUCCAGGACCCACAGUCCAAACAAGAGGAGUCGCAGAUAUUCGGAGGAAAUGCCGAAUGGAGACUGGUAUACAGGAACUGACUUGUGGCAGCCAAGCGCCCAUAGCGACGUUGCUUUUUGAUCCUUCGAUGUCGGCUCUUCCUAUCAUUGUGUUGCAGAAGGCACAACGUGUCGGAUUGUUCACCCGCUAAUAGGGAACGUGAGCUGGGUUUAGACCGUCGUGAGACAGGUUAGUUUUUCUUUAAUGAGGAAAU